CGCAUCUGCAAAUUAUUUUUCCGGUCAUUUAUUUAUACAUUUUGAUAUAUGUAUAAAUUUCGCUUGAUUUUUUUAUGGUUGAGCCACGGAAAAAUUUUAACGCAUGGACAACAAUAUCGAGAGGUGUACUUUUCGAGCGAUGGCAGCAGCAGUAGCGGCGGCGGUGGUGGUGGAGGCGGAGGCGGAGGCGGUGACGGUAGAAGCAGAGGCAGGUAGAUGGUAUGCAGACGUUGACUAGAGUCAGCCGGGGUGGUUGUGCAUUUAGCAAGCUGUCGCCCCCAACCAGUCCGCCGUGUCAGGCCACUGACAGUUUUCAUUCCGCGCAUACUUGACGUGCAACCGGCUCCUCUUCGCUCGCUUCGUUUCUACUAGAACCGCCAACACCAUGCCGAUCGCUGCGAUUAAUUAUUUUGUCGAUCCACUACCUUUUCUUUUCUUCGUCUAACGAUGCCAGUCAUAGCUCGUUUAAUCUCGAUAAUCUACGUCCUAUAGUCGUUUGCGUGGAUCCGUAAUAAGUUGCGCGCAUCAUAGAAGGGGCAACAGGAAACGACAUACGACAUGACGCGACGUGACGCGAUGCGAAGAGUCGAAACGAGACGUGAAAGACGUGACGAGAGGAGAGAAGAGGAGAAGAGAAGAGAAGAGAAGAGAAGAGAAGAGAAGAGAAGAGAAGAGAAGAGAAGAGAAGAGAAGAGAAGAGAGGAGAAGAGAAGAGAAGAGAUGAGAAGAGAGGCGGAAAGAAGCGAAGCGAAGAGAAGAGAAGAGAAGAGAAGGGAGGAGAAGAGGAGGAGACUAUAGGAUAGGUGGAAGUUCGAUUCAGGGCGAAAGGGAAGGAUUAAUGGCGCAGGCGGGACACACCGCGGCCAUAAAUCGCCGCACGGCCAGGAAUUACCGGCUCGCAACUUGCGAAAUAUGACGGUCUCAUAAAUCCGAGUCCACUAGCCCGCGCGCCUCCAUCGACUACGUCGACUAGUCCCGCUUCCAGUCUCGCGUCGGUAUAUUGCGAUCUCGCUUCUACUUCUAACUCGCGGCCUAACGUCAUCUUCGUCCGCUCGUGCUCGCGGGAGAAUACACCGUGCACCCUGUGUAUACGUUUCAGCUCGGCGUGCAACGGCCAUUUAUAACUUGCGCGCCUGGAAAAGCGAGGUCCAUAACCUAAUACGUUCGUUCCGCUCGCCGAGGGGAGGCGAGAAAGGAGUUAAACAAAGAACGGGGUACGCCGAUUUAAAGGACGGGGAUAGAUGGAUGGAGACACCGGUGUGUCGUAACGAUGUGCCGCCUCGAACGAUCAAUUCACUUACCGCUUACCGUGCUUAGAUUCAUGUGCCUUGCCGCGAUUUUCCAUUCGUCCUCCACUAUUUCACUCUUCUUGCGCCUCCUCGGAAGUUCGAUCGUACCAACUGUCUUACCUUCUCGUAAUUGUUC
This is a long non-coding RNA of Bombus impatiens (common eastern bumble bee), 1425 nucleotides long. RefSeq lists it as uncharacterized. Lineage: Eukaryota; Metazoa; Arthropoda; Insecta; Hymenoptera; Apidae. The record is from RefSeq and is a predicted model, not a curated record. The transcript has 2 exons.